UACAGAGGUCCCAAGCGUUGUUCGGAUUCACUGGGCGUAAAGGGUGCGUAGGCGGUCGGGUAAGUCUGAUGUGAAAUCUCACAGCUUAACUGUGAAACUGCAUUGGAUACUAUCCGGCUAGAGGAAUGGAGGGGAGACUGGAAUACUUGGUGUAGCAGUGAAAUGCGUAGGUAUCAAGUGGAACACCAGUGGCGAAGGCGAGUCUCUGGACAUUUCCUGACGCUGAGGCACGAAAGCCAGGGGAGCAAACGGG
This 253-nucleotide ribosomal RNA is filed under the name uncultured bacterium. RNAcentral's name for it is "partial 16S ribosomal RNA". It matches the Rfam family "Bacterial small subunit ribosomal RNA", at positions 524 to 776 of the family's 1533-position model. The record is from RNAcentral.